AAAUGUAAAUCGGGUUUGCAGGAUAAUCGCACAAAAGGCAGGCGGUCCCUCUCGGUAAAUGAGGCUGCAUGGGAAUGAAAGUGCCGGAGCCUCUGCACCAACGAAGAGAAUAGCCAGCUUCCAAGAUAUGUGUGAAUGGGACUUCCAGAGACAAGAAUCAGAAGCACGGACCAAGAACAACAUAAUUAUUCCAGUUUCGUAACUUCAACAGCUCAAUUAAGCUAUUUUUAAAGGAACUGCAGAAUCCUGUCGCCAAGGUUGCAGAGCUGCCAGGAACCGAGGAAGCCUCCGAUGUGGCGAGAUAAUCUAUUCCACAAAGCCAACCAUGUUCAAGGCUUUGGGGAAUCAUGGCUUUGGAAAAGAGGAUUCCUCUCAACUUUAGCAUUAUGAGAUGGACAACAACAUCCCUUGUGAGAUCCAGAGCUACCACAUCUGCAUGGGGCCUUAGAGGGAGGCUGAGGGAUUACUAUUAGAGAGUCUUUGAAUAGUAGAAGCUGAAUACCUCAUUAUUAAUUAUUAUUAUGCAGCUGUUUACAGUUGUUUCAAUAAAAGGGACUUUUAUUUCAGGGCAGUUUUUCCCCACUCAGGGUCUUCCAGACAAAAACCUAGACUAAUAUCAAUGUCUCAGUCAAAAGAGAAAACAAAGCCAUGUGAUUAAUAGGCCGAAAUCCUUUGGUGGUUAGUGGCUCAAAGGGAAGGGAGAAGCCAUUGCAGGCAUUAAAAUGAGCUUUUGGAAAUCAAUUAUAUCAUAAUUCAUAUACUGACAGCAGCAAGAAUAGCAUAUGCCCAAACCUGGAAAAUAGAUGGCAUACCCUCCGAAAACAUGAUAAUUAAAAAAAAUAAUGGACUGCAUGGAAAUGGUUAAAUGAACUCUCAAACUGCAAGAUAAAAAAGAAAAAGAAUACUAUACAAUAUGGGACAAAUGGUAUCAGUGGUUAGAGAAUAAGAAUAACAAAUGAAAGUAGAACAUUGAU
Long non-coding RNA from Thamnophis sirtalis, 974 nucleotides. RefSeq lists it as uncharacterized. NCBI's taxonomy places the organism in Eukaryota, Metazoa, Chordata, Lepidosauria, Squamata, Natricidae. The record is from RefSeq and is a predicted model, not a curated record.